UUCCUGAUUUUCCCAUCGUUCGGGGCAUUCUGGGGCUGUUUUGGCUAUUGGUUGCUUGUUUGGUCUUGAGCUGGACGGGUGGCUUCUAGCCUGGUGGCUUCGGGGAUGUUGACCGUAAAGGUGGAUGAGUGGUGUUUGGUUUGUUACGUGUGGUUGGCUGCGGCGUUUGCAACAACUUCCAUGCUUUCAGACCUCUUCAUUUGUGCGGCAAGGCUUGUAUCGCCUUGACCGUAUUGUGGGUUUUCUGUGUUGAAUACCUAAUCAAUGGUAUCGGUUGGAUUGAUCAAUGUUUCAUUUCGUCUGACGUCGCAUUCACGGCGUGAGAUGAACCUUGAUGCGGUCUCUUUGAUCCACCUUGUUGAAGCGCAUGCUUUGACGUUGUGGCGCAUUGAGCAUUGCUUGGUCUCUUGUAUGCGGAACAUGUAGUGGGCAUGAAUCUCACGAUUCUCGUUUGCCCUCAUAUUAGCGUAACGCUUCUCUUAAACGACUUGCUCCACGUUUUAG
RNAcentral lists this unclassified non-coding RNA (504 nucleotides) under Artemisia filifolia. Its description in RNAcentral is "partial external transcribed spacer". The record is from RNAcentral. Lineage: Eukaryota; Viridiplantae; Streptophyta; Magnoliopsida; Asterales; Asteraceae.